This 1300-nucleotide ribosomal RNA is filed under the name Myxobolus cylindricus. Its description in RNAcentral is "SSU rRNA". It matches the Rfam family "Eukaryotic small subunit ribosomal RNA", at positions 420 to 1472 of the family's 1831-position model. The record is from RNAcentral. Lineage: Eukaryota; Metazoa; Cnidaria; Myxozoa; Bivalvulida; Myxobolidae.
GGGCGGCCGGGCGGGGAAAACUUACCCCAAUCCAAGAAAAGUGGGGAUGUUGGUGACGAAAGAGUACCAAGAUGACCUACCAAAAAGGUAGACCAGUUGGGAAUGGAAUAAAAUUUAAGCCAUUGAAUUGAGAAACAACGGGAGGGCAAGUCUGGUGCCAGCAGCCGCGGUAAUUCCAGCUCCAGGAGCGUAUCUCAAAGUUGCUGCGCUUAAAACGCUCGUAGUUGGAUCACGGACUGUGUUUAGAGAUGUGGUAGACUCGACUAUAUGCUCAUACGUGUUCAACCUAGUUGUUCAUAAUGGCUUGUCCCGUUCUUCAAUCAUAACUCUGGAUGCAGUAGUUGCACGUGAGAAUGGCCAUUGACCUUUAGUGUGUUGAGGGUCGUGUCUCACGGGGUGUGCCUUGAGUAAAUAAGAGUGCUCAAAGCAGGCAGUAUGCUUGAAUGUUUUAGCAUGGAACGAACAAUCUUGUUGUAUACGUGUUGGUUACGGUAUUAGCCUUGUGCGAAGUACUACAAUACGUGACGACUACCCACAAAUACGGAUGUUGGUUCCGUUUUGGGGUGAUGAUUAAGAGGAACGGUUGGGGGCAUUGGUAUUUGGCAGCGAGAGGUGAAAUUCUUGACCUGCCAAGGACUAACAAAUGCGAAGGCAUCUGUCCAGACCGUAUCCAUUAAUCAAGAACGAUAGUGAGAGGUUCGAAGACGAUCAGAUACCGUCCUAGUUCUCACCAUAAACUAUGCCGACCUGGGAUCAGUUUGGAGUAUUUUAUACUUCGCUCUAGGUUGGUCCCUCUAGGAAACUUGAAGUUUUUCGGUUGCGGGGGGAGUAUGGUCGCAAGGCUGAAACUUAAAGGAAUUGACGGAAGGGCACCACCAGGGGUGGAGCCUGCGGCUUAAUUUGACUCAACACGGGAAAACUUACCUGGUCCGGACAUUAAUGGGAUAAUCAGACUAACGAUCUUAUUUGAUUUAGUGAUUGGUGGUGCAUGGCCGUUCUUAGUUCGUGGAGUGAUCUGUCAGGCUAAUUCCGGUAACGGACGAGACCACAUUCUCCAUUUGAAGAGCUUAAGUAGGUGUCUGUAUCGUGGUGGGGUGUGCAAACAUCUCAUUCAUUGACAUAGAUAUCGCUGGCAAUGCGAUUGAGACAGUGGUGGAGGAGCAAUCCGAAACUAUUGGCGAGGUCGUGUUCCCUUAAGCCGGGUCAGAUUUGGUUCGCAGAAUCAAAGAUGAUAUCAUGGAGAGACAACGGAACAUUUUAAAAUCCGAGGAGGUGUGGCUAUAACAGGUCUGUGAUGCUA